RNAcentral lists this ribosomal RNA (257 nucleotides) under uncultured bacterium. RNAcentral's name for it is "partial small subunit ribosomal RNA". It matches the Rfam family "Bacterial small subunit ribosomal RNA", at positions 26 to 285 of the family's 1533-position model. The record is from RNAcentral.
AGGACGAACGCUGGCGGCGUGCUUAACACAUGCAAGUCGAGCGGAAAGGCCCUUCGGGGUACUCGAGCGGCGAACGGGUGAGUAACACGUGAGCAACCUGCCCUUAGCUCUGGGAUAGCUCCGGGAAACCGGAAUUAAUACCGGAUAUUACACCGGCUGGCAUCGGCUGGUGUAGGAAAGAUUUAUCGGCUAAGGAUGGACUCGCGGCCUAUCAGUCUUGGUUGGUGGGUAGAAGCCUACCAAGGCGACGACGGGUA